This 445-nucleotide ribosomal RNA is filed under the name uncultured bacterium. Its description in RNAcentral is "partial 16S ribosomal RNA". It matches the Rfam family "Bacterial small subunit ribosomal RNA", at positions 354 to 796 of the family's 1533-position model. The record is from RNAcentral.
GUGAGGAAUAUUGGUCAAUGGGCGCAAGCCUGAACCAGCCAUCCCGCGUGAAGGAAGAAGGCCCUACGGGUUGUAAACUUCUUUUCUGUUUGAAGAAUAAGCUUGUCGAGACAAGUGAUGCCGGUAGGACAGGAAUAAGCAUCGGCUAACUCCGUGCCAGCAGCCGCGGUAAUACGGAGGAUGCAAGCGUUAUCCGGAUUUAUUGGGUUUAAAGGGUGCGCAGGUGGUUGAAUAAGUAAGUGGUGAAAGUCUGUCGCUUAACGUUAGGAUUGCCAUUGAUACGGUUUGACUUGAAUAUGGAUGAGGUAGGCGGAAUGUGUAGUGUAGCGGUGAAAUACUUAGAUAUUACACAGAACACCGAUUGCGAAGGCAGCUUACUAAUCCAUUAUUGACGCUGAGGCACGAAAGCGUGGGGAUCAAACAGGAUUAGAAACCCGUGUAGUCC